RNAcentral lists this ribosomal RNA (428 nucleotides) under bacterium. Its description in RNAcentral is "bacterial SSU rRNA". It matches the Rfam family "Bacterial small subunit ribosomal RNA", at positions 1 to 403 of the family's 1533-position model. The record is from RNAcentral.
CGGAGGGUUUGAUCCUGGCUCAGGAUUAACGCUGGCGGCGUGUCUUAGCCAUGCAAGUCGAGCGGACCACUUCCUGGGAGUAAUCCUUGGGAAGUGGUCAGCGGCGAACGGGUGAGUAACACGUGGGUAACCUGCCUCCGGGAGGGGGAUAACCAGGGGAAACCCUGGCUAAUACCCCAUAAAGUCGGAGGAACGCAUGUUCUUCCGAUGAAAGGUGGCCUCUGGGGUAACCCAUGCUACCGCCUGGAGAGGGGCCCGCGGCCUAUCAGGUAGUUGGUGGGGUAACGGCCCACCAAGCCUAUGACGGGUAGCCGGCCUGAGAGGGUGACCGGCCACACUGGCACUGAGACACGGGCCAGACUCCUACGGGAGGCAGCAGGCUAGAAAUUUGGGCAAUGGGGGAAACCCUGACCCAGCGACGCCGCGUG